RNAcentral lists this ribosomal RNA (404 nucleotides) under uncultured bacterium. Its description in RNAcentral is "partial 16S ribosomal RNA". It matches the Rfam family "Bacterial small subunit ribosomal RNA", at positions 30 to 526 of the family's 1533-position model. The record is from RNAcentral.
AUUUAACGCUGGCGGCAGGCCUAACACAUGCAAGUCGAGCGAGCGGCGGACGGGUGAGUAAUGCCUGGGAAUUGCCCAGUCGAGGGGGAUAACAGUUGGAAACGACUGCUAAUACCGCAUACGAUUGGAUUGCCCAGGUGGGAUUAGCUAGUUGGUGAGGUAAUGUCUCACCAAGGCGACGAUCCCUCGCUGGUCUGCGAGGAUUAUCAGACACAGGGGAACUGAGAAACGGUCCAGACUCCGACGGGAGGCAGCAGUGGGGAAUAUUGUGCGAUGGGGGAAACCCUGAUGCAGCGAUGCCGCGUGUGUGAAGAAGGCCUUCGUGUUGUAAAGCACGUUCAGCGAGGAGGCGUUACUCGCAGAAGAAGCACCGGCUAACUCCGUGCCAGCAGCCGCGGUAAUUC